Molecule: ribosomal RNA, 554 nt
Filed under: uncultured bacterium
Lineage: Bacteria
Description: partial 16S ribosomal RNA
Rfam family: Bacterial small subunit ribosomal RNA
Source: RNAcentral
UAGGGAAUCUUCCACAAUGGACGCAAGUCUGAUGGAGCAACGCCGCGUGAGUGAAGAAGGUUUUCGGACCGUAAAGCUCUGUUGUUGGUGAAGAAGGAUAGAGGUAGUAACUGGCCUUUAUUUGACGGUAAUCAACCAGAAAGUCACGGCUAACUACGUGCCAGCAGCCGCGGUAAUACGUAGGUGGCAAGCGUUGUCCGGAUUUAUUGGGCGUAAAGCGAGCGCAGGCGGAAGAAUAAGUCUGAUGUGAAAGCCCUCGGCUUAACCGAGGAAUUGCAUCGGAAACUGUUUUCUUGAGUGCAGAAGAGGAGAGUAGAACUCCAUGUGUAGCGGUGGAAUGCGUAGAUAUAUGGAAGAAUACCAGUGGCGAAGGCGGCUAUCUGGUCUGCAACUGACGCUGAGGCUCGAAAGCAUGGGUAGCGAACAGGAUUAGAUACCCUGGUAGUCCAUGCCGUAAACGAUGAGUGCUAAGUGUUGGGAGGCUUCCGCCUCUCAGUGCUGCAGCUAACGCAUUAAGCACUCCGCCUGGGGGAGUACGACCGCAAGGUUGAAAC